RNAcentral lists this ribosomal RNA (414 nucleotides) under Triticum aestivum (bread wheat). RNAcentral's name for it is "partial small subunit ribosomal RNA". Lineage: Eukaryota; Viridiplantae; Streptophyta; Magnoliopsida; Poales; Poaceae. The record is from RNAcentral.
AUGGUUUUUCACGAGGAGGAAAUAGAAACAGGCAUCAAAUUCAAUCCUGAGGAGCUAUGCCCCCCCAAAAGACAAACUGAACUCAUGCAAGCAGUUUAUGGAAUUAAUCUGCCGCAAGCAAAUUCUAAGAAAGAUUUACUGUCAAUUGCACCAAGGAAGCAAAAGAGAGUGUCGUUCAACCUGAAUCCAAACCCUGUUGCAGCUGCAGAAAGGAUGGAACCCACUUGUCUGAAACCAUCACUCAAACAUAGAGGCCAAACUGAAAAAGUUCAACACACAACUAUGUUGGCUAACAAGGCAAGUCAAGCAAAAUGUCAGGCAACUUAUAGUGUUCAGAAGCCGGUUGAGCAAGGAAGCAAAAGUGGCACUUUCAAGCAAGCAAGUUCAGUGGGAAGUUUCCCACCACAGGAGUGA